UUUGUGCUGUCACUUCAUUUUUUUCCUUCUUGCCUCACAUUUUCUUUCCCCAUUUUGAAUGUGAAUAUUUACUUUUGUUUUCCCAUUUGGCUGUGUUUUGAGGAUCUUCACUUGACUAAUAAGUAUUUUACCUCUUCUUUGGUUUUUUUUUUUUUUUUUUUUUUUUUGGUAGGACGUUAGUGCUCUUCUUGUCCAGGCUUGCCGACUGGUACCUCUUAACCAGAAUCAUCUUGUCAGCAAAGUGUCCCAGCUUAUCCACCAUUUACUUAACAGAUUACAGGGGCUGUCUUGCACACUGUGGAAUGUUUAGCAGCAUCCUUGGCCUCUGCCCACUAGAUGCCAGUAGCAGCUCUCCAAUUGUGGCAGUCAAAAAUGUAUACAGGUCUCAUGUGGGAGAGGUGGACUUCCAAAUUAAAUUAGUACUCUGCCAGCAGGGAAGGAAGAAAUGGAUGCUGGUAGGUAACCAACCAACUCUGCUGCAUGGAGUAAGGCUGUUUUCAGUUUAG
Molecule: long non-coding RNA, 506 nt
Filed under: Piliocolobus tephrosceles (Ugandan red Colobus)
Lineage: Eukaryota; Metazoa; Chordata; Mammalia; Primates; Cercopithecidae
Description: lncRNA (ENSPTEG00000006606.1)
Source: RNAcentral